This 478-nucleotide ribosomal RNA is filed under the name Aspergillus sp. CWBI-F450. RNAcentral describes it as "SSU rRNA". It matches the Rfam family "Eukaryotic small subunit ribosomal RNA", at positions 431 to 911 of the family's 1831-position model. Lineage: Eukaryota; Fungi; Ascomycota; Eurotiomycetes; Eurotiales; Aspergillaceae. The record is from RNAcentral.
GGCGCGCAAAUUACCCAAUCCCGACACGGGGUNUUUAGUGACAAUAAAUACUGAUACGGGGCUCUUUUGGGUCUCGUAAUUGGAAUGAGUACAAUCUAAAUCCCUUAACGAGGAACAAUUGGAGGGCAAGUCUGGUGCCAGCAGCCGCGGUAAUUCCAGCUCCAAUAGCGUAUAUUAAAGUUGUUGCAGUUAAAAAGCUCGUAGUUGAACCUUGGGUCUGGCUGGCCGGUCCGCCUCACCGCGAGUACUGGUCCGGCUGGACCUUUCCUUCUGGGGAACCUCAUGGCCUUCACUGGCUGUGGGGGGAACCAGGACUUUUACUGUGAAAAAAUUAGAGUGUUCAAGCAGGCCUUUGCUCGAAUACAUUAGCAUGGAAUAAUAGAAUAGGACGUGCCGGNUCUAUUUUGUUGGNUUCUAGGACCGCCGUAAUGAUUNAAUAGGGAAUAGUCGGGGGCGUCAGUAUUCCAGCUGUCAGAGG